Molecule: RNA transcript, 18734 nt
Organism: Pan troglodytes (chimpanzee)
Lineage: Eukaryota; Metazoa; Chordata; Mammalia; Primates; Hominidae
Gene: BACH1
Gene name: BTB domain and CNC homolog 1
Exons: 8
Source: RefSeq, a predicted model, not a curated record
CCCUCGGGCGCCAGCCGGGCCCCUCGCCCGCGGCCCGCCCGGGCUGUGACACAUCAGCACCGCCCUCGCGGCUGGGGCCCCGUAUUGUCCUCCGCCGCCUCCCACCGCACGCCCAGCCUCGCGUCUACUCAGCCCGGUGCCUGUCGCGCGUGGAAUCGCGUAAGAAAAGCCGAGUUUGUGGCUGGGGAGAGAAGGCCACCGUGCUGAGCUGGAUUUAGCGAAGACUGGUUUUGGGGACCGGAGAUCCCAGGACUCCCUUUGUUGGAGUUUUGCCCACGCGUUGUAAUUAAGCCUCGCACAAUAUGGUGAGAGUGGGCGUUGAUUCUGGAGACACCAGCUUUGUGCUCGUGUAAUGUAACACGAGUGCCGUUGCUUUCUCAUUCUUACACGGCAGUUUCAUGUCAUUGAGUAGAAUUGUGCGGAAUGCUUUUAUGGAGUGAGGCUUCUGCGUUAAACUUGUGCUGAUUCCAGGUUGAUGAUAAUUAGAAGCAUGCUUUCCACUGAACUUCCCGACAACAUUUGUUAUGCAGAAUGUCUCUGAGUGAGAACUCGGUUUUUGCCUAUGAAUCUUCUGUGCAUAGCACCAAUGUUUUACUCAGCCUUAAUGACCAGCGGAAGAAAGAUGUGCUGUGCGAUGUCACCAUCUUUGUGGAGGGACAGCGGUUCCGCGCUCACCGGUCCGUGCUGGCGGCAUGCAGCAGUUACUUCCACUCAAGAAUCGUAGGCCAGGCUGAUGGAGAGCUGAACAUUACUCUUCCAGAAGAGGUGACAGUUAAAGGAUUUGAACCUUUAAUUCAGUUUGCCUACACUGCUAAACUGAUUUUAAGUAAAGAGAAUGUGGAUGAAGUGUGCAAAUGUGUGGAGUUUUUAAGUGUACACAAUAUUGAGGAAUCCUGCUUUCAGUUUCUGAAAUUUAAGUUUUUGGACUCCACUGCAGACCAGCAAGAAUGCCCAAGAAAAAAAUGCUUUUCAUCACACUGUCAGAAAACAGACCUUAAACUUUCACUUUUGGACCAGAGGGAUCUAGAAACUGAUGAAGUGGAGGAAUUUCUGGAAAAUAAAAAUGUUCAGACUCCUCAGUGUAAACUCCGCAGGUAUCAAGGAAAUGCAAAAGCCUCACCUCCUCUACAAGACAGUGCCAGUCAGACAUAUGAGUCCAUGUGCUUAGAGAAGGAUGCUGCUCUGGUCUUGCCUUCUUUAUGCCCCAAAUACAGAAAAUUCCAAAAAGCAUUUGGAACUGACAGAGUCCGUACUGGGGAAUCUAGUGUCAAAGACAUUCAUGCUUCUGUUCAGCCAAAUGAAAGGUCUGAAAAUGAAUGCCUGGGAGGAGUCCCGGAGUGUAGAGAUUUGCAGGUGAUGUUAAAAUGUGACGAAAGUAAAUUAGCAAUGGAACCUGAAGAAACGAAGAAAGAUCCUGCUUCUCAGUGCCCAACUGAAAAAUCAGAAGUGACUCCUUUCCCCCACAAUUCUUCGAUAGACCCUCAUGGACUUUAUUCUUUGUCUCUUUUACACACAUAUGACCAAUAUGGUGACUUGAAUUUUGCUGGUAUGCAAAACACAACAGUGUUAACAGAAAAGCCUUUGUCAGGUACAGACGUCCAGGAAAAAACAUUUGGUGAAAGUCAGGAUUUACCUUUGAAAUCUGACUUGGGCACCAGGGAAGAUAUUAGUGUUGCAUCUAGUGAUAGGAGUAGUGUGGAGCGAGAAGUGGCAGAACACCUAGCAAAAGGCUUCUGGAGUGACAUUUGCAGCACGGACACUCCUUGCCAAAUGCAGUUAUCACCUGCUGUGGCCAAAGAUGGCUCAGAACAGAUCUCACAGAAACGGUCUGAGUGUCCGUGGUUAGGUAUCAGGAUUAGUGAGAGCCCAGAACCAGGUCAAAGGACUUUCACAACAUUAAGUUCUGUCAACUGCCCUUUUAUAAGUACUCUGAGUACUGAAGGCUGUUCAAGCAAUUUGGAAAUUGGAAACGAUGAUUAUGUUUCAGAACCCCAGCAAGAACCUUGCCCAUAUGCUUGUGUCAUUAGCUUGGGAGACGACUCUGAGACGGACACCGAAGGAGACAGUGAAUCCUGUUCAGCCAGAGAACAAGAAUGUGAGGUAAAACUGCCAUUCAAUGCACAACGGAUAAUUUCACUGUCUCGAAAUGAUUUUCAGUCCUUGUUGAAAAUGCACAAGCUUACUCCAGAACAGCUGGAUUGUAUCCAUGAUAUUCGAAGAAGAAGUAAAAACAGAAUUGCUGCACAGCGCUGUCGCAAGAGAAAACUUGACUGUAUACAGAAUCUUGAAUCAGAAAUUGAGAAGCUGGGUUCUGUGGAAAAUCUGAUGUGCCAAGAAGUGUUCCAUACCAUUCUGAGAACUUUGGAUACCUGCUCAGACAGCUCUGUUUCAGCUAAACAGUAACAUCUGGGAGGGAAGCUUAAUGUGGAAUCAAGGAUGAAGUUUAACACAGGAAUGAGGAGUAGAGCACAUAGCUGCUAAGAUAAGGCUGGAGUCUCAGCUCAUUGCAACCUUUGCCUGCCAGGUUCAAGUGAUUCUCCUGCCUCAGCUUCCCAAGUAACUGGGACUACAGCUAUAGAUGGCAGCACACCACUACCUACGAUCCGAUCACCAGCCUGGGUUUGUAAGUCAGAGCUGUUGGUCAGGAGACAGCAGCUAAUGAGUAAUCAGUCCAAACUGAAUGGCAAAUUAAUGUCUUCAUUAAGUGAACAAACCAGCUUCCUCCAUAAACAAGGUCAGAGUAUUUAUAACCCAGUGUAUUUCAUAAAAGCAAAAACGCAUCUCCAUUUACAUAACUUUACUAUGGAGCUCAUGAUUUAUCUGCACAAAGCAUAUGCAAAAUCUCACUUGUAUACCGUCUUUAAUAAGGGCCCAUGCCAUUCUGAUGUAAUUAUUAAUAAAGUCACACUUGAUAAGCAGCCUUGUUUUUCUCACACAAGGUAAAUGAAAAGGUGAUUGCUUUAAACAAAAGCCACUCUUAUAAGAUGAUAUUGGGUGGCCUGUUCCAAAUUGAGUUCUUAGUAAUAAAAAUGAAGUGUGAUCCUUAUUGAUCAAAUAUAUCUGCCACUUAGGUUCUAUGAGAACUUAUUUAAAAUUUAGACUUGGUUACACAGGUAUAAAGUUUGAUAUUUACCAUAUGCUACAUGUCACUUCAAUUCAGUGAAUUGAAUGCUUAAUUUUGCCAUCCUUGUCAGAGAACAAUAUAGAAAUUUCAGAAACUUUUCACAAAAUGACCAGGUGUCAAAGACUCUGAAUUUCUGUUUCUAGAUCAGUGUCAUCCAGUAGAAAUAUAAAAUGAGCCAAAUGCAAGUUGCAUGUGAAGUUUUAAAUUUUCUAGAAACCACAUGUUAAAAAGUAAAAAAAGAGGUGAAAUUAAUUUGAAUACUGUACUAUAUUUUAUUUAACCAGAUAUAUCCAAAAUAUUAUUUUUAGCAGGUAAUCUAUAUAAAAAUUAUUGCAAUAUUGCACAUUCAUUUUUUUAAAUCUGGUGUGUAUUUUACACUCACAGCUCAUUUCGAUUUAGAUUAGCCAGAUUUUAAGUGUUCAGUAGCCACAUGUGGCUAGUUGGCCACAUCAUGUUCCACUCGGCUCUAAAGACUUAGUGCCUGUUAUGAGGGGAAUUGUGUGCCCCCCAAAUUCAUGUGUUAGAAUCCUAACUCCCACUACUUCAGAGUGUGACCUUAUUUGGAGAUAGGGUUGUUACCAAGUAAAAACGAGGUCAUUUUAGGGUGGACCUUUAGAGUGGAUCCUAAUCCGGUAUGACUGAUGUCCUUCUAAAAUGCGGAGACUGGAGACAGGCUCACACACAGGGAGAACUCCAUGUGGAGAGGAAGGCAGAGACUGGGUGAUGCAUCUCCAAGCCAAGGACCAUCGAAGAUCACCUUCAUCCCCAGAAGCUAGGAGGGAGCCAUGGAACAGAGUCUCCCUCACAGCCUCAGAAGGAACCAACCCUGCUGAUGUCUUGAUUUUGGACAUCCAGCCUCCAGAACUGUGAGAGAAUACAUUUCUGUUGUUUAAGGCACACAGCCUGUGGUGCAUUGUUAUGGCAGCCCUAGUCAACCACUACAGAACCUUUGGUUGGUGGCUGCCAUUGUUCCAAAGCUUUCCUCUCCUUGCCUUGAAUCUCCUCUUCUCUUCCUUCUAUGCUUUCUCUUCUGGCCUCUCUGUCACUCAACUUUCCUGCCCUCUCUCAUCGUUUUCCAUAGGAUCUCCCUCUCAUAGCACAGAGGUAAGCAGGGAGUUUCUGUUGUAGUAAGCGGGAGAUGGGUUCCACCUGAGCAGGGAGAUGCCUGACUUGCUUCACGUCUCCAAUGGGGAUAAUAUUAUCUGCCAGCUGUCCCCUGGAGCUACUGUUGUGUAGGUGAAGGGCCGACUCAGAAAAUGCUUUGAAACCCAUAAAUAAUGACAUGGAUGAGAAUGAGUAUUUUGUGUGUUUUACUUUCACAUGUUAGGACUCAAAGGUGGAAUGAAGUGUUUUCUAAGUUACUUUGGUUUCUUCUCUCUGUAAUUAUCUAGGGUUCCUACUUCAUGGUAGGGAAUGUGUGAAAGGGCAUAGGCCCUGCCACUUUCUUGCCAUCUGUCAGUAGUGGGCUUCUACGGGCUGCCUCCCAAGCAUGUUUUAUAUCCUCUCUACCCAGCGCAGAACGGCCUCCCUAACUCAAAAACCACGUGUUAAGGUGAUAUGGAUCCCACUCCCAUCUCUAGAAGUGGGUCCCAAAUAGGGUCACUGCAUCAGAUAAUUCCAAGGGGUAUCAUCUUGAUAUUGUUUGGCUUUGUGUCCCCACCCAAAUCUCAUCUUGAAUUGUAAUCCCAUAAUCCCCACGUGUCAUGGGAGGGAGCCAGUGGGAGAUAAUUGAAUCAGGCUGGCUGUUUCCCUCACACUGUUCUCGUGAUAGUGAGUGAGUUCUCAGGAGAUCUGAUUGUUUUAUAAGCGUCUGGCAUUUCCCCUGCUGGCACUCAUUCUCUGUCCUGCUGCCCUGAGAAGAGGUGCCUUCCACCAUGAUUGUAAGUUUCCCGAGGCCUCCCUAGCCAUGCAGAACUGUAAGUCAAUUAAAUCUCUUUUCUUUAUAAAUUACCCAAUCUCCAGUAUUUCUUCAUAGCAGCAUGAGAACGGACCACUACACAUCUGCAUUGUCAUAAAUGUGUAUAGUGAACUUGAAGUUGUGCAGUGCACAACCUGCACAGUCAUAUCUGAUAGCCCCAGUCCUGUACAAUUAAAUCAUUCAGGCAAUCCCGUCUCUCUGACCGUAGUCAUAGGUACAGAAUGGGUACUAAAAUCCCGUAAAGCUGUGAGGAGAGAUUGUCCGGGGUUACUGAGAAAAAAAAACAAAAAACAAAAAACUCUUGCCUUCUCCAGGGACCUACUGAUAGACGGCAUUCUGAGUGUGAUAUAAACAUAUAAGGCUGGCAGCUGUGCUCAUGAGAGAAGGGCCAGUACCUUUUGCGAAGUCACUAGGUGGACCUUGAGGAAUAAGAGAGCAGAGAUCUGAGAGAGCCAGGGCUUGUGCUUAUGCCUCUGGAUCAAGCUUUGCCUGAAGCACCUGUGCAGUUUGUUACAUGAGCCCAUGUAUUUGCUUUAUAGAAUUGGUUUGGGUUGGAUUUUCUUUCCCUUGCUACCCAAAGAAUUCUAAAUGCUACACUGGAGAUGGAAGUAAAGAAAGGGGGAGAUAGAGAUGUGUUUCUGGUUGACAGUGCAACAACUAUAAGAAACAAAAACAAAGCUUCUUCAAGCAUCCACAACCAUUGCCACAGCAAUUUGAAUUACAUUUUCUAAUGAAAACCAGGCCAAAUGAUGGUUAGCAUUCUCAGCUAACUCACAGCAAUGUUCUUAAGUCUAUUUGUGAUUGUCCAAUGCUAAAAAUGUAUACCAGUUGGCAUUAAAAACCUAAACUAUUUCUACCACUGUAUGGCUUUUAACUAGAGGUUUGUGCUCUACCCUGAAAACUUAAUCUACUAUGCAUAUCUUUAUUUCUAAACUAAUACGUUCUUUUGAGUUCAGCCUACGUAAAAACAUACUUCUGGUGUACUGCCUAUUUGUAAAUUGAAACUUGUCAUAAGUAUAAUAACAUUGCCCCCAUUGUUCGUAUUAAUUCAUAGCAAGGGGGAACACUACUGUAUAGAUGUUAUAAAUGCUUAGGCAAGGGAGACCAUUCAGCUCUUAACCCAAUUUCCUGCUGCAAAUAUCAAAAGUUGGAUCAACAUAUGCCCCUAGUUACAAAGAUGUAACAUCAUUUCUAAAGUCUUUAGCAGCAGAAUCCUAAAGGGCCCCUAAAUUUCAGUCUUAACUUUGUUCCAGCCACAUCCCAGCUGUUUCUCCCAAGUACUUCAUCACCUGCAGGCUGUUUUCAGUUCAUUAUGGGACCAAGGAGAGGCCACUGGGACAGUAUAUCAAUAGAACAAUCCUUGCCAAAUAAUGAAAUUUGGAAAUAGGCUGGGCACGGUGGCUCAUACCUAUAAUCCUAGCACUUUAGGAGGCUGAGGCAGGAGAAUUGCUUGAGCCUAGGAGUUGAAGGCUGCAGUCAGCUAUGAUUGCACCACUGCACUCCAGCUUGGGUGACAGAGCGAGAUCCUGUCUCUUAAAAAAAAAAGUUUUUGGCUACUUUGUAACUGAAGGAGAUCAAUCCCUAGAAUGUCCUUCCCAGGGAGGCCAGGCUACCUGCCUAGCCUCUUUCUGCCUGCCUCUCUUUGCUGCUUGGGUUUUUCUGUUGUGCCCCUUCCCAAGGCAGGAGCUGGCAUCUCUUUCCCUCCUGCAAACUUCAGUCCCAUGGAUCCUCUUCUUGUUGUUUUCUGCACUGAUUUUGUAUCGAUUCCUCUGGAGCAAACAUUGGAAGCUGCUGUCGGAUAUGCCAGGGCUCUCUGCCCUGUUGUGUUCUGUGUUGCUAGCUGAAGAUUACUCCCGGGUUUGUUUCAAGACCCUUGGAACCAGAAUAGAGGUGACGCUCUCCUGUUUGUACUCUCUCUGGCUGUGAUUUUUAAAUCCUUGUUCUGAGCCUGUUUUUUUUUUUUUUUCUCCUCUGCCUCACUUUUCUAGCUCAUUGCCUUCUAUAUCUUCCGCUGGCUCAGUUUGCCUGAGCCCUCUGCAUUUGGCACUAAAUCGUAGUUUAUUCUAAUCCUUUGCCUGGAAGCUGAUGCUGGUAACCAGAUGGCAAUAAAAAGACACUGAAUGCAACAUUUCUACCUGUGAGUUGAGAGACAAUACUCGUUACUUCCUGGGAAAACAGUUGGUGUUUUUCUCAGUUGGGGUAAAAUGAUAUUUCUAAAAAUCCUAUUGUUUUCUUACUUGGAUAAAUGUUAAAAUAUGUUUAUUAGAAAGUACGCUUUUAAAUUUUUUUUAGUCUAAAGAAAUAUUGCUGCUUCUCAGAGUUUUGGCAAAUAUUGCUUUUCAUUUGUUCUUCUUUUCCUGUGUCUUCUUUCUUUUCACUCUCUUACCACCUAUAGAUUUAAAUUACAUGUCAUUUUAUUAUUAUUUACUGUAUUAACUAAACUCACUUUUUAUUUAGUUCAAAAAGAUGGAUGUGUGGAGUAUUUUAAAUUUGGCUCUUAAAACCACAGUGUAUUACAGAUCAGAAAGCUAUUAUUUUUUCUGACAUCCAGCAGGCACCAUUUCUGUGUUUUAGCUAUCUGACAGCUUGGGGACAGAUAAUGGGCCUUUGUUACAAACUGGGCCAGAGUAUUCUUUCUGGAGACUUUUCAAACUAGAGCUAGAAGAGAGGUGCCCCCUGUAUUAGUCAGCUACUGCUGCAUAACAAAUAACCAUAAAAUCAGAGUCACUUAAAACAGUGAGCACUUAUUUACUUCACAUCUCUUCAGGUCUGAUGAGUGGGCUCCACUGAUCUCAGCAGGCCUGCUCAUGUGUCUUUAGGCUGGCAGUGGGUGGUUUGAUUUAAGGAUGUCUCUAGUCCACACUGCAUGUUUGCACAUCUGUUGCCUAUGUCUUUGCUAUGGUUUGGAUAUUUGAGCCCUCCAAGUAUCAUGUUGAAAUUUGAUCCUCAAUGUUGGAGGCAGGGCCUGGUGGGAGGUGUUUGGGUCCUGAGGGAGGAUCCCUCAUAAAUGGCUUGGUGCAUUCUUGUGGGGAUGAGUGAGUUCUCAUGAGAGCUGGGUUUUGAAAAGAGCGUGGCACCUCCUCCUCUUUCUGUCUCUUGCUUCCUCUUUCACCACGUGGCUCCCUUUCACCUUCCACCAUGAGUGGAAGCAGCCCGAAGCCCUCACCAAAAUCAGAUAGAUACCAGUGCUGUGCCUGUACAACUUGCAGAACUGUGACCCAAAUAAACUUUUUUUCUGUAUGAACUGCCCAGCUGCAGGCAUUUUUUUUUUUUUUUUUUUGUAGCAACGUCAAAACAGUUUAAGUCAGUCUUUAACCUUUUAGCAGACUAGUUGGGGAAUAUUCCAUAAGAGAGCAAGUGAGAACCUGCAAGGUCACAUAGACCUAGGCUGUGAAGGGUCUUGUUAUGACUUAUACUCUUAUGCCAUUAGCCAAAGUAAGUCAAACGAACAAGCACAAACUCAAGGCACAGGCAUACACCACCCGCUAGGAGGCCUUGCCAAGGGUGUGGAUACAUGGAAGGGUGAAGAACUGGACUAGUCUUUCAAUACCACAGCCCCUUUCUUCUCUAGGCGUGGAGCUGCUAGGAGUGAGCCCCACAUGCAGACAUCUGUCUCUGGUAGGAGAAGACAAAGUCAAGAUCCAGAGAGAUGCAGUGGAAGACAGGAUGGGAGAAGGUCCCAAUCAUUUUCUAGUUAUUAAUAACAUUUUUGGCUGUGCUUAGAUUGCUGCACUUGGGAGGUUUGGUUAAUCAACUUUUUGUUUUGCUUUGUUUUGUUUUUGUUUUACUAGGAGGUAGGCUACUCCACAAUCCCUCCAAACUCUUCUUUCUUGCAUUAAUUGGUUUAAACUGCAUUUCUGGUACUUGCAACCAAAGGAUCAUGACCCAUCUAUACUGUUUUUUCUAGAUCAUAUGGUUUUUAUAUCAAAAGUUGCUGUCCCUAUCCCAAUGCAAAGCUUUUUAGGUUGAUUUUUAGGGGGAUAAAAUCUUUCAUAUUGAAAAUAAACAUUAUCACCUAUAUAUCACAGGUUAUUAGUUUAUUAAAUUAAACUGAACCACAUAAGUUUCAAAUAAAAGUGUUACUGAAUUUGCAGUAAAAAUUACACAUAAUUAGUGUAAAUUAGGAAAGAUAUAAAACAGUUGGCACAAAGCAAUAGCAUCCAUACUUUUAACCCAUUAAUUUUAUCCCUAGGAAUUUACCUCAAUAAAAUAAUAUAACAAAAGCAAAUGUUCAUAUACAUUACACAAUUUAUGACAACUGUCAUAAUAAUAAAUUAAAGGGACAUGUCUAAAUUAAGAGAAUGUGUUAACAAAUUAUGUUAGUUUAUCAGGAUGGAAUAUUAUGUAGUCUUUAUGUUAAUUAAGAAAAUUCUAUAAAAUUUCAAAAUCCAUUUAUGACGUAGUACGUGAAAAAGCAAAACAAAAUGCAAAAUUACAGGGACAUCCAGACUAGGUAUAUAAUUUUAUUUUUGUGCGCAGCACAACCAUUUUCUUUUUGUGCGCAGUAGAAAAAAAACAUUUCAAAUCUACCUGUAAUUUUCUCUUGUUCCGCUAGGAGACAUGCAUCAUCUUUGAUUAAAAUUAUUCUUCACUGGGACCUUUAUUUAUGCAAAGGCAAAAUUCUAUUCUAGACUCAAGAAGCUCGAGCUAGACAUCCUAAACAUUUCUGAAUAGAAUUAUCAAAGGCUGAAUUUGUCAUGUGCAGAAUUGCAUCUUUGUAGGGUUAUGAUGCUGUUGCCUGUGGGUGAGGAUGUGGUGGAUAACGCCCUUCUUGCAGUGAGGAUAAGGGGGGUUGGAGAAGGUACCCAGGGGACUGGUGGCUCAUGGUAAUUGAUGGACUAGGGGAGGCCAUGUAGAGAGGACGCCAGUGGAGAGGCAUGGCUGAUGGACAGAACUCCAGGAGCGGUGAUAGUUCAUAUCCAGUACAGUAUUUUUCUUUUUCUCCAUUAUAAUUUUCCUCGUUAUUCUCAAGCCAACAGGAAAUUGUCUUAAAUGUUUAUCCAGAUAUUUGCUGUACUUUUGGAAAUUAAGGGAGGAGCCUGUAACUCUCCUUGCAUAAAACAAGAGCCUGACUUGUGUGAAAAAGUGAUAAGAAGAUAUUCAGUAGAGAUCUGAGGGGAAGUCUCAGAGCAGAGGUCCGGAAUAAGUUAAGUGUGGACUGCAUAAGAAUUCCAUCCGUAUGGUAGACUGUAUUUCUGUUUGCCAAAUAUUUUACUUUUCCUCCAUCUUUUGCCAUGGAAGGAGUUUACUCUUCAACUCUGCCAGACUCAAGAGAGGCCAUUCGCUUUGCUGUGGCCGAUGAAAUGGGAGCAGCAAAAACAUGUAUCAUUUCUGGGAACCAGUGCACUGUUCUCCGUGUCUCCCUUCUCUCACCCUGGGCCUGAUAAUAUUCCAGCUGGUUGCUGCUCCAUCAUCCUGGAACCUACAAGUUUGGGGAGGGCGUCAAAGCCAGAGGCAACUUUCAUUCAUCAUGUUAUGUGAGUGUGAUGGUUAAUUUUAUGUGUCAACUUGACUGGAUCAUGGAGUGGCCAGAUAUUUCACUAAGCUUUUUUGGGUUUCUGUGAUGAUGUUUCCAGAUGAGAUUUGCAUUUGAGUCAGUGGACUCCGUAAGAUAGAUUGCCCUUCCCUGAAUGGAAGUGUAUUAGCCAAUUUGCUGAGACCCUGAACAGAACAAAAGGUGGAGAAAGGAGAAUUCAGCUCCUCUGCCUGACUGAUUGAGCUGGGAUAUCAGUCUCCUUCUGCCCUCAAACUGAAACUUAAACCAUCAGCUCCACUGGUUCUCAGGCCUUGGGUCCGAAACCAAACUACACUACCAGCUUUCCUGGGUCUGCAGCUUGCAGAUGGCAGAGCAUGGGACUUCUUAGCCUUCAUAAUCAAGCGAGCUAAUUCCUCAUAAUUAGUCCAUCUGUGUUAGUCCAUUCUCACACUGCUAUGGAGAAAUACCCGAGACUAGGUAAUUUGUAAAGAAAAGCAGUUUAAUUGACUCACAGUUGUGUAUUGCUGGGGAGGCCACAGGAAACUUACAAUCAUGGCGGAAGGUAAAGGAGAAGCAGGCACCUUCUUCACAAGGGUGGCAGGAUAGAGUGAGUGCAAGCUGGGGAAAUGCCAGAUGCUUAUAAAACCAUGAGAUAUCAUGAGAACUCACUAUCACAAGAACAGCUUGGGGGAACCGCACCCAUGAUCCAAUUACCUCCACCUGGUCCUGACCUUGACACAUGGGGAUUAUGGGGAUUAUAGUUCCUGGUGGGAUUUGGGUGGGGACACAGAGCCAAACCAUAUCACUAUCUCUCCCCCUCAUCCCCUCUCUCUCUAUUAAAUCCCUUAUUGGUUCUGUUUCUCUGGAAAACCCUAAAUACAGUGGGAAAGAAGUAAACCUUUGUGGUUGUAAGCUACUGAGACUUUGUUACUGUAGCAUGAUCUGGCCUAUUCUAAUUUAUACAGUGGGAUUUUUUUUCCCCCACAAACACUAAGGAAGUAGCAUGUGGAAGGCCACACCUUCUGUUGCCAUCAGUAGGGGGGGUUUCUGUAGGCUGAGGACCUAUGAGCCUUUUGGGUUACCUUUGACUUGCACUUGGGCUUUUAUGUUGAUGCCAAGCAGUAUGUUUAUACUCCUCUAAAAUGUAUUUUUCUGUAUAUAAAUAGUGUUUUUGUUAACUCUCACCAGCUCCAGUCUCAACUUUUGCCUCUAAUUUUUCCCAUAAUAUUCACUAACUCUAGUGAUAGCUGUCUAUGUGCAUAGUACUGAGACUAAUUCAGAGAGUGGGUUGGAUGAACUUUGGUUUGAUUUGUACGUAAUUGUUAAAAACUGUGUUUAAGAAAACAGUUGUACCCUUGGCAAAACCUGGAAGUCUCUAUGUUAACAAUUUUCCCAAUUUUUAUUUUAGGAAGCCAUUCUGCGUAUUAUGUUUUUAAAUAAAAGGAUUUGACUUUGGGCUGACAAUUUAGCAUUUAACCACUGUCUCUGCACCAGUUCCACAAGAGCAGGGAUUUAGAUUAAUUAGAAAAACCUCAUUGGUUUCUGAUGGAGGGGGCAUUCAUAGAAACAACCUACUGACAACUAAGGAACUACUGCGAUGGGAUGGGCAGCCUGCAGCUUCACUCGGUGGGCAGCCUCCACAGGUACUUUAAUUCCUCGCUCUUCUGGCCAGGCAUCUCUUGGUAAAGGCAGGUAGAGGAAGCAAAGCAAUUACCUAGAUAAUUAAGGAAAAACAAACCUGUAUGUGGCAGGUAACUUGGGGAGCUGCUUCUGAUUUUCUAGGCAACUGUUUUCAUUCUUCACUUCUCUGGUGUCAGUAGGAAUCUGAGCUAGAUCCCAAGAGCAACUCGAACAAUUACAAUGCUCUCAGUUGGCAAACCCGGCUUCAUAGCAACUUCCCUCCUCAUUGAUCUAGAGUUUGAAAUAGCUUUGUCAGAUCUCAGGGGUGUGUUCCUGCUGAUUUAUGGCAAAAUCCCAAUAACAGCUGUGAAAAUGUUUGUCCAUUUGUGAAACUUCAGAAAGCGGGUCUAGCAAAUCAUUCUCACCUGGUGAUUCUGGGGCAAGGUGAGAACUGUACCCUCACAGGCCGGGUGAAUAAGAUUCUAGUUGCGGUGGACGCCAAGGAAGAAGACGUACUAUGAGUCAGUCUCUCUAUGAGGCAUUUGCUGAACCUUCCCCUCCUACACCUUCCUACAAGGCAGGUCCGAUGACUUUUACUUUACAGAUGAGAAGAUGGAGCCUCCACAAGGCACAUAGCUGGUGAGUGACAAAACCAGAAUUCAAACCCAGAUCCAUUUGAUAGUGACAUUUGUUUCCACUACCCUAGUGGCUCUGGGGGAAGCCAGGACACCUAUAUUUUUGUAAAGUCCCAUAGUUGUUUCUAGUGUCAUCCGGGUUGGAAACUGUAUGUUAAGUCAGUGGUUCUCAAACUUUAGCAUGCAUUAGUAUCCCCUGUUAGGCUUGUAAAAACACAGAUUGCAGGCCCCACACUUAGAUUUCUGACUUGGUAGGUAGGUCUGAGUUGGGAACCAGGAAUUUGCCUUUCUAACAAGUUCCCAAGUGAUGUUGAUGCGGGGGCCUGGGCACUGCACUAUGGGAACCACCACCGCAUUAAGGUGAACUCAGAGCUGAAUCUGACAUGAAAAUCUGCAUUAAUGGAGAUGACAUCAGAUAUCUGCAAAGUCACUUAAUAGAGAACAGUUGAGACUAAGUCUUGACUAAUAUUAAAACUAACACAUCUAAAAAGACUAUGUCCAUUACAGGUGGGUGGUCAGAAUAGAAACAUUACAUAAUGGGAAAGAAAAUGUAGCUGAUUCUAUUCAUCUAGAAGGAAGAAGUGAUGUAAGGGUCAGUUUCCGCCUUUGCUUUGAAUUCCUUGGACAGCAAGCAACCAUAUGAGCAUUAAUUUGAUUUAUUUUUUUCAGGUAUCGUAUCUGAUUUCAGAUACAUAUGAUGGUCUCAAGUGUGUUUUUUACCACCACCACUUUGUAGGCCUGUUGAUGCCACUGCUGUUGAAGUCUAUGUGAAUGGUGCCCCCUGGUGGAAGGAAGAAGAGAAUUCCCCAAAUACUCCGUUUCUGGGUGUCUCCAUUGGUUGGUGUAUUUUGAAGAAAUGGACAUCAAAGGUGUUGAAUGAAUACUUUUUGGCAAAUUGAUUAAAUGCAAAGCGAUUUUAUAUUAGACUCAAUUUGGAAGAUGAGUGUGCUGAAACAGUAAGUUACUUAACGCUUAUUUUGUAUUAUUUGAUUUACUCCUCCCUACUCUUUUCUAGAGUUAAUUCACGUUGACUGUAUAUCUUUUGAUUUAUUAAUUGUUCCCCUGCCUCUUGUGUAAAAUGAGAAUACCUUAUAUUCACCUGCUCUUAGGUUUUUAUGGAUUGAAAGGAGUUGGAGGGCUGGUUAUAACUUGGAGUGCUAGGCCCUGCCCCUAGAGUUUCUGAUUCUGUGGGCCUGGAAUGGGGCCCAAGAAUUUAUUGCAUGUAUAAUAAGUCCUCAGGGGAUGCUGAUGCUGUCAGUCUCAGCACCACACUUUCAGAUCCACUGCUAUUGUGCCAUCUACAAGUUAAUAUGAACUCCACAGCACACUUGUAUGUGUGUGCCUCUGUGUGUGUGUGUGUGUGUGUGUGUGUGUGUGUGUGUGUAGGCAGUGUUGGUGGUGGUAGGAAUAGGGGUAUGGUUUGACCAGGUAGGACCUGGACAUAGAAAAGGUUGCAGGUAUAGAUCAUUGUGAGAAGGCCACGGAGGUCCUGGAAGGAUCCCAGGUCCCAAAGGCAUAAGGAUGAAGGGAAGAGAGAAAGAAAAACCGACAUGUUCCUGACAGCUGGAUGCUUCUCCCAUUUAGAUUUCUCUGAACUGAAAUUCUAGAUGGUUUAAUUACUCCAUAAGGCUUGCUAAAUUGCCCCGUCUCAGCCUCACAUACAAUGCUGGUAUCUACAUUCUAUGCUCUCAGACUAUGUAUUAAAACUGUGCACUGGUGGAGUAAGCUAGUUAAAUAUUUGUACAUUUGACUGCACACAGCUACUGCUUAUGUUUUCUUGUUCUUCUGCUCUAUCUUAAGGAAUCUGUAUGAGUCAGCCAGUUAAAAUGCUGGCUGGGAGGUAAUUAGCUGGGAAUUUUAACCCCAUCAUAGUCAUUCACCUGCUUGAAGAAUGAAGUGGAUGGGUACUUUAGUGAGUCUAGCAACCUGUUUCUUUCUCUGCCAAAUGCAAGAAGUUCUUCGUGAGUUGCUGGAUGGCUCAAAUUAUCAUAUUCUGGAGCUUAUCCUGGAAACAGGAAAAUGUCAGUCCAAUAGAACAUCAGCGCACAUUGAUAUAUAAAAUUGCAGGUGAUGAAAGGCUCUGAAAGAACUCUAUGAGUCUCCGGUCUUAACGCUGUCUUAGAUUUUGAUGGUACAUUGUCUUUUUCAUUUCAACUCUGUUUUAAAUUUUUUAUUAUGUAAAUUUUUAGACAUACCCAGAAUUAGAGAGAAUAGCAUAAUAAAACUUGAUGGUACCAUUAAUUCAGUCUCAAUAAUUGUCAAUAUUUUGUCAAUUGUGUUUUAGUCAGUCCCCACUCUUGGUUUCCUUGUGGCCUGAUCUCUAUCUGGCAGCUAUUAACUCCAAUUUGUUUCUUACCACCAUUUCUCAGCUCGUCUCCACGUAUGUAGACCUUCAUCCAAGUGGAAUUGUGUGAAGCCUCCCCUGGCUGUGGGAACUACGUUUCCAUAGAAGUAGCCUCCCUAUUCUGGAUCUGAAUUAUACCAAGAGUUCAGUGGCACAUUAAAUGAUAAUUGAUUUGGAAAUGAGAGGCACAUAUACAAAGACAAUGACCAGAGCAUAUAUAAAAAUAGAACAGCUUACACCUGCCCGCCCAGAAAACCAACCCCUUGUUUCCAACAAACAGCCCAGGAAACCAGCCUGCUUUAAGUCAGAGUUGGAGGGGGUCAGAUGCUAUCACUGGCAACAGUCUAGGAAGUUAACAAUCACUUCUGGAACAAUUGGUCUAAAAUGGCCAGGACUUCACUAAUUUUAUUGGUAAAUACUUUAAUAUGAAUCUCUAGCAGAUAAGGGCUUUAAGACAAUAUAACCACAAUAGUAUCACCAUACUUAACAAAAUUAUUAUUUUAAAUAUCAUCAGUCCAUGUUCAAAUUGCCUUGUCUCAAUUUUUUUUUUUUUUUUUUUUUUUUUGAGAUGGAGUCUCGCUCUGUUGCCCGGGCUGGAGUGCAGUGGCGCAAUCUCGGCUCACUGCAAGCUCCGCCUCCUGGGUUCAUGCCAUUCUCCUGCCUCAGCCUCCCAAGUAGCUGGGACUACAGGCGCCCACCACCACACCCGGCUAAUUUUUUUGUAUUUUUAGUAGAGAUGGGGUUUCACCGUGUUAGCCAGGAUGGUCUCGAUCUCCUGACCUCGUGAUCCACUUGCCUUGGCCUCCCAAAGAGCUGGGAUUACAGGCGUGAGCCACCGUGCCCGGCCUCAAAAAAUUUUUGAAUAGUACAUUUGUUCAUAUCAGGAGCUGUAUGAGUUCCUUUGUUGAUUUUGGUUGAUAUAUCUCUUAAUCCUCUAUUAUUAUUUAACACUUUCUCUUCCCCCUUUUUUUCAAGCCAUUUAUUUGUUGAAAAUAUGUCAUUUUUCCAGUUGAAUUUCCCACAUCCUGGUCUUAUGUGAUUGUAUCCUGUGGUAUUGUUUAUAUACUUUCUAUAUACCCCAUAUUUCUUGUUAACUGGCAGUUAAGUCAAGAAACACAAUUAAAUUUAGGUUUAUUUUUUUCAGGGGGCAAAAAUAUUUUAUGGGCAAUGUUUAAAUCAACAGGCACCCAAUGUCUACUUGUCCCACUUUUCAUGAUGCUAAAGUUGAUGGGUUCAGAUGUCAUCAUUCACCCAUUAUCAAUUUUCCUAUCAACUACCAUUUAUGAUUCUUGCCAAAAUCCAUUGUCUUGGCAGGGGUUGCAAGAUGACAUUUUUCGAAUUAUUUUUCUAAUAAUCAUUCUUUUUAAAUUAGAAUUCUUCUGUGGAGAAGAACUUUCCCUCACAUCUGUUUGGUUAACCUGAAGCACAGUUCAUAAAUGAGAGGCAAGGUAAAUGCUGUAUUCUGUACCUUUAUUUAUCCAAUUUCAGAGUAAUGAGUCCAGCAACAGCCAAAAAUGAUUAGUGUGGUUUUCAUUUUUCAAAAUAUCAUUAUGAACUUACACAUUUAAUAUAUAUAUUUCUGUCAUAUAUUAAUAUACUAAAAGAUUUGAUAUGUUGUAUAUAUCUAAAAUAUUUAACAUAUUUCAAUCAAUGAGUUUCAGUUGACAAUCCAUUGUAAUGAAUGCUAAAUUUGUCUCCCUGUUGUUUAAUAGGAUUGCUCUUAAACUCAGUGUAAAACUGCUUGCCUACUAUCCUGUUUAUUUUUGAAAUACAACUGUACUUAGUAUUAAAAUAUUCCUAUUAUAGAAAAUUUAGAGAAUAAAGCCCCACAUAAAGAGGAAAAUGAAAAUUACCUGUAUUCUUCCCACUCAAAAAGAUUCCCCUUUAUAAAUGUCAAAUUUCCCUCUAUUUUCUUGCUCUUUUAUAUAUCAUCAAAUACUCUUCAACCUGUCAUUGUAGUCACUCUGUCAGAAGUGCUUUCAACUACCCCUCAUCUUAGCCUCAUUGCACAUGUCUAGCCAAACCUCAACCCUCUUCACCUCUGCACCUGUGUCUGUUACUGGAGACUAUUAACUGAACCAUUUCCUUCAUUUGAUGAUCUAAAGCCUCCACAGGCAUGCAUUGUGACCCAGAAACCUUCUUGUGUUUCCCAGAACUAUUCAUAUAUUCUCCUCAAACCCUCCCCCAACCCUUCCCUCUUUAGUCCUCACUGGGCUAUUGACCUUGUUCCACACUUCAGUGAAGUAAAAACCUUCACAUGAUGACUCUAGCAUUCCCGAUGAAAACUUAACAAAAACUCAUCUGCAGCUAAUGCUCCCUUCUUUCCUCCUGGCACAAUGGAGGGCAUUUUCUUUCUCCUAGCAAAGUCCAGUCCCUCCCCUUCUCUGUAUCCAGUGCUCUUUGACCUUUUAAAACACUUCACUCUGGUUAUCUUCUCUCCUUUAUCAACUUGCCCUUAUCAUCUACUGGAUCAUUUCUGUAACCAUAUUCUAAUUUACCAACCCUAUCAUAAAAACAACACCAACAACAAACAGUCACUGCCUUGGUUCCCUGUCUCCCAUCCAUUUCUGUAUUAUUCUGCAUUGCCAGACUUCUCAAGAGUUGUUAACUAUGUGAUUUCCACUUUUUUAACUCUUUUUUUUUUUAAUUCCAGUCUGGUUCCUCUCCAGCCCCGUCACUGUACUAAAAUUUCUUGCCUCAGGGUCACUGGAAAUCCACAUAGCCACAUGCAAUGUACACUUCUCUGUCUUCAUCUUACCCUUUCAGCAGCAUUGGGUGGAGUGGGCCAUUUGUUUCUCAAAAUACUCUUCUCUUGGUUAUCAUCAGGCCAUUGGUUCUCUGCUUUCCAAACUCACUGGUUUCUCCCAACUCCUAUUUCUCCUUUUAAGUGUUGACAGUAUUGGGUCCUCUUCUCUUCUCCUGUUAUCAUUUUUCACUGGGUGGUUCCAUUAAUUCGCAGCUUUAAAAAUCUCAUUAUGACUCAAGACUCCAAAGUUUGUGUCUUCAACCCAUUUUUUCUGAGCACCAUAUCCAGCUCUGCUUACUUGACAGUUCAACCUGGAUGUCUUAUAAACAUCUCAAAUUAAACAUGUCCAAGAUAGAACUUCUCAUUUCCCCUGCAUGAAUCAAUUCCUCCUCUAUCUGUCCUAUGCCAAUAAAUGGCAGCAUUAUCCGUCGGUUGCCCAAUUCAGAAAUCUGAGUCAGUCCCGAUUUUCCCUUUCCCAUAACCCCUAUAUAGCAGGUGCAGCAACUCCAUUUGAUUGUUCCCCUUAAAAUAUCUUGACUGUCAACUUUUCUCUGUCUCCAUGGUGAACACCCUGGCCAUGGCUCAUCCUUCACCUGCACUAUGUCAGCACCUCGUUGAUGGGUCUCUCAAUUCAUACUUGUUCCUCUACAAUCCAUUUUCCACAUUAUGAGCAAGAACAUAUAUUAAACCUUACAUUAAAACCUUCAGCGGCUUUCAUUACAUGUGUAAUAAAUCCAAACUCUGCACAAGGGCUGGAUGGCUCUACAGAUCCUGUCUCCUGAUAUCUCUCCAGCCUCAGGUUAAGCUACUCCCUACACCAGAGUCAGUCUUAUUCAAACACACUUAAAUCUUCCUGCCUCAGGCUGUUUGU